UGGGGAAUUUUGGACAAUGGGGGAAACCCUGAUCCAGCCAUCCCGCGUGUGCGAUGAAGGCCUUCGGGUUGUAAAGCACUUUUGGCAGGAAAGAAACGUCGCGGGUUAAUACCCCGCGGAACUGACGGUACCUGCAGAAUAAGCACCGGCUAACUACGUGCCAGCAGCCGCGGUAAUACGUAGGGUGCAAGCGUUAAUCGGAAUUACUGGGCGUAAAGCGUGCGCAGGCGGUUCGGAAAGAAAGAUGUGAAAUCCCAGAGCUUAACUUUGGAACUGCAUUUUUAACUACCGGGCUAGAGUGUGUCAGAGGGAGGUGGAAUUCCGCGUGUAGCAGUGAAAUGCGUAGAUAUGCGGAGGAACACCGAUGGCGAAGGCAGCCUCCUGGGAUAACACUGACGCUCAUGCACGAAAGCGUGGGGAGCAAACAGGAUUAGAUACCCUGGUAGUCCACGCCCUAAACGAUGUCAACUAGCUGUUGGGGUCUUCGGACCUUGGUAGCGCAGCUAACGCGUGAAGUUGACCGCCUGGGGAGUACGGUCGCAAGAUUAAAACUUAAAGGAAUUGACGGGGGUGCAUAGCU
This 580-nucleotide ribosomal RNA is filed under the name uncultured bacterium. Its description in RNAcentral is "partial 16S ribosomal RNA". It matches the Rfam family "Bacterial small subunit ribosomal RNA", at positions 355 to 928 of the family's 1533-position model. The record is from RNAcentral.